AAAACCGAAUCAAUUCGAAGCAACCAACAAUAGUGGAUCGUGCAAACACCUUCCCCAGUCAGCCUCCACCCCCUUUAUACACACACACACACACACGCACAUAUACGGACAGACAGACACAGCCGCGCAAGCGCUGUCCUCGCACUCCUCUCUGUUCGUGCUGUUUCUCCUGUGCUUUUAUGGCCUUUCGUUCACCUUCCCACUACCCGUGCUUCCGUUGAUCUUCUCUGUUUUUGUGCCCGUUUUUGGUUUGUGUCACACCGCGAAGCAUCCGGGCGGGAAGCGCGCGUCAUGGCGGGUGUUCUCACGCUGAACUUGGUGCUGCAGAGGUCCAAGACGGACGAUAUUCGCCGAGUCCAGAAGCUUAAUGUAUGCGCGUCGCAGAUACAAGAUAUCGGUGUGCUGCGGCAGGCCGUCGCAUUGGAGGUACUGUCCAUGUCGCUGAACGAUAUUUCAGAGCUCGGUGCCUUGUCGAAUUGUCGCCGACUGGCGGAGGUUCACCUCCGCAAGAACCAAAUCCGCGACAUCAACCAAGUACUACACCUCUCUCGCCUGCCCUGCUUAGAGGUGCUCAAUUUGGUCGACAAUCCCAUUACCCGUGACCCUAACUACCGGCGCUUCGUCGUCGCCGCCAUUCCAUCGCUCGAGCGCCUCGAUGACCGCGACAUCACAGACGAGGAGCGUAACAAUGCCCUUGCAGUGUUUCCGCAGCUGCUGAGUUUUGCUCCCCCGCCGUCAAAGUACGCGCAGCCGCUGGAGGGCAUCGCACCACCAACGAUUCAGGAGCGCGAAGCACAGGCGCGGGCGAACAGCACGCACGCCAGCCACAGUGGCGCCACCGGGUUCGAGGCAGGUCGUCCGAACAUGCACCCUAGAAAGGCCACUAACAGCGUCAGUGGCUUCGGCGGCGGUAAUGUGUACAACGGCCGUGUUGGCUCCGGGGCUAGCGGCAAUCCGACCAUUCACAAGGCCCCGCCUGCGUCAGUGUAUCAGGAUCCGAACCGCUGUGCUGCGCUUCCUCCCGCUCGCUCCAGCCCCGCCGCGCGUGCUCAGGCCGUCAACGACUAUCAGUCCGUCUCAUCUUACCCCUCCGGGCCUUCCGAGGAAGGCGUAGUACAAGCUGUCAAAGUACUAUGCUCGGAACUGUCACCUGAGGCGCUGGAUGAUGUGCGCCGCUUUAUCGACUCCCUGAGCGGGUAUUAGGGAGGGUGGUGGUACCCGACAGGGCGCCGCCAUGCGUUCACGCUCGUGUAGUGCCGUGUGCCAUGUGCAUGUGCGUGUGUUCAAACACCACGUGGAACGGGAAACAGCGAUUUUUGUAGGGGUGGGAACGUGGGGCAGGGCAUGUUCAAGCAAUUUGUAACGUGCUGGCCCGACCGCUUGUUUCCAGCUGCUUCGAAGCUGUGCGCGCACGACUUGCACAUGAAAACGUUAUUAUCACACCUUCCCGAUCAGCUGCGCACGCGCAGGCGCCAAAGAAACACGGGAACGUACGGAAAAAAAAUGUAGAUUUAAAUGUCGUUAUUAUGCGUCACACGGCGUGUGCGUUUUUGUGCCCGCUUCUGAGAAAGUAAGCGAAGAAAUCUAUUGUGACGCGGACAAGGGCAUUCACACGCAGGUACGUACGCCACAAUGCUCGACGUCACGUGGGAGGCUUCCCAAAGGGGAGCGCUGCCCCAGCGGAACGUUGUAGAGUAGGGUGCAGCUGUGCAUAGUAAAGCGAACGCUCCCAGAACUAAGAAGGAACCCGCAGCUGCAGAAGGAGAGAAGAGGCCAAAGGCGGCCGGAGGAGACAGUGAUUGCCUCGCCUGCCUUGAUGCAUCGCUUGCGCACGUAAAUCUGCUUUUUGCCUUACACUGGCGCUCUCCUUAGAGAAGGGCGUCGCACUACGCGUGCUUGCUGCCUUAGGUCACACACUCGCUUGUGUGUCGGUCGUCUUUUGUUUUCUGUGCUUGCGUGCGCCCCUGGCCUCUUCUGCACGCCGAACGGAGAGCGAAGAAAAAGAACCGUUGAUGUCUCCUUCAGGCUGGCAGCACUUCUUUUCCUUGUUCGUGCUACCCUCACUUCAGCUUUCUUGCACUCGGUAUGUCACGCUCGUCUUAGGCGUACCGACUCGUGCACGUGAAUAUCUAUGUAUCUAUGUGCGUGUGUCCAGCUUGCGCUUUUUUUCUUUAAGGGGUGGGUGGGUGAGUGCAUGUGUGUGCCUCUGCCUCUCUCCCUUUGCUCUGCACGGACUUGCUGACUCUUCGCUUCGCCUUCGGCUCGCUGUUUGUGUAUUUUUGCGUGUGCAAUGGGAUGUUUUCUUUUUUCUUUGUCGCGCUGUUGUCGUCUCUCCUGGUCUCGCUCUCUCUCAUCUUUUGCCGGCACAUCCGCUGCAUUGUCUCGCCCUUGCAUGCUUUCUCUUGUCUGCCUUUUUUUUCUUGCGCUCUCGUCCUCCUCUUACUGCGCUUAACGCGCAGCGCUGCAACGUAGUGGAGGUUCACAGAAAGAUGAGAACAUCCACAAAAAAGACAGCCCACCUCUACAUGUGGGAUUGGAAUCCAUUGCAAGGGAAAAUCUAUAAGCAUGCAGAACCACCGUCCCUCACGAGACCCUGUGGCUACCGCCCCCCCUUCACGCGAAGAAAUGCGUCUUUUAACGCUCCAAGUGACGUCGCUCGAUGCCGCGACUGUUCUUCUGUGCUUGCAGAUCACACAAG
This 2698-nucleotide unclassified non-coding RNA is filed under the name Leishmania donovani. RNAcentral describes it as "gene:LdHU3.35.4410(CDS-product:hypothetical_prote in_conserved)". Lineage: Eukaryota; Euglenozoa; Kinetoplastea; Trypanosomatida; Trypanosomatidae. The record is from RNAcentral.